CGGCGCUCAGACGGCCGCCGGCUCCUGACCUAAGAACUUGCAGACGCCUCUACCCGCACGUCUGGGAUGGACAUGUGCGCGAAAGUGCGCAGACUCCGGGUCGGGGCAGACUGCGCGUGCGCAGGUCUCUAGUCCUUAUUCCCACUGAGGAAAUGGUGCGAGCCCCAGCCCUCCCCACAGUCCUGGAGCAGCACCGUCCAGCGGAGCGUGCGACCACAGAUGUGCUCUGUCCGUGCCACCCAGUACAGCAGCUGCUCACCACACAUGGACGGUGCAACUAAGGACUUAAUCUUUACAUUGAAAUAAUUUCAACUUAAGUAGCCACAUGGGCUAAUGGCCAUCAUUCUGGACAGCACAGCCCCAGAACUUCCUCUGCACGUGGCUCGAGUCUGCUGAGAUGGCUGGCUGAUCAUUUAGACAAAAACCAUAGAAGAGAGUUGUUCACCACAAAGAACCCCCCACACAACUCUUAAAACUUAAGGGUUUGGAACCCUGCCCACGGUACCCAUGAAGCCAGCCCUCUGUGGCCAGAGCAGGGCCCACAUACCUGGUUCACGUCCUCCACUGUGGUGAGAAGAGGCGGUGAGGGCAGCGUGCUGGUCUCCUGCUCACCACUGCUGUGCUUCCUGAAAGAACCCAGAACUCAGGCCGUGGCUGCCUGCCACCCCCGGCUUCCCUCCAGGGCACACCUAGCUGCUUGGUAUGGGUGUCUCUAGGCACUGGUUCUGGGUGGGGAGGCCUUGGGCCCACUGUGUGCAGGGGGCGAAGGUGGGUCACCAUGGUGUGGUACCCUUCUGGAGGCCGUGACAGGGCUGGGCUGGGGGUGGGGGGCGGCGGGCAUGAGGACUGGCACUGCCGCUUCAGCUGCUGAGUCCGCCAGCUCCAGCCUUUUGUUAAGUUAGUCAACAGAUACAGACUGACUGUUUACCAUGCACUGGAGACAGAUGACUU
Long non-coding RNA from Bubalus bubalis (water buffalo), 951 nucleotides. RefSeq lists it as uncharacterized. The record is from RefSeq and is a predicted model, not a curated record. NCBI's taxonomy places the organism in Eukaryota, Metazoa, Chordata, Mammalia, Artiodactyla, Bovidae. The transcript is spliced from 2 exons.